AUUUUUCUAUUAUCUAGGCCCAUGCUUUUAGUUGUGCUCUACAUUAGUGCAAAUAUCGUAUUUAACAACGACAUGUAGGCUAUGAUUUUAAGAAAAACAUAGCUUACAAAUGUGAUAACAUUUUUGUAAUUCUAGCAAGGUAUAUACGGUUAUGAAAGAACCGUAGCUUAUACUCUAACUACUAACUACCAGAGUAUAAGUUAUAGUUGUAUAAAGCAUGGUAACCUACACCCCCUAAAUAGAGUUAAUUUCAAUAUUUUUUUUUACUUGGCCCUCAGAUACCACUUUUGCCUCCCGCCACUACGUACUAACAUGAAUUACUUUGUUUCUCUCUCGUUUCCUUCUUCUAGUGUUCAGGUUUGUUCUCUUUUCUUUUCUCACGUAAACGCAUUGUUUUUUCUCUCGUUUUUUAUUGUUCUCCAUUAAGGAUCAUUCAACUGGUUUUCUCUCUUGUUCAUUGUUUAGGUUCGUUUCCUCUCUGUUUUUCUCCUCAGUUUGUGGGUCUUCAUUCAUGAUUUGUUAUGCGAUCACGUUGUUUAGAUGUUUAUCUUCGUUCUCUGUUGUUCAUCAUGCAGGCUUUUUUGCCUCCUGUUUGUUGCACUACACUCC
This 609-nucleotide long non-coding RNA is filed under the name Vigna radiata. RNAcentral describes it as "long non-coding RNA (VRAD_LNC006944)". Lineage: Eukaryota; Viridiplantae; Streptophyta; Magnoliopsida; Fabales; Fabaceae. The record is from RNAcentral.